RNAcentral lists this ribosomal RNA (304 nucleotides) under uncultured bacterium. RNAcentral describes it as "partial 16S ribosomal RNA". It matches the Rfam family "Bacterial small subunit ribosomal RNA", at positions 509 to 807 of the family's 1533-position model. The record is from RNAcentral.
CAGCAGCCGCCACGGUAAUACGAAGGGUGCAAGCGUUAAUCGGAAUUACUGGGCGUAAAGCGUGCGUAGGCGGUUUGUUAAGUCCGUUGUGAAAGCCCUGGGCUCAACCUGGGAAUUGCAGUGGAUACUGGGUCGCUAGAGUGUGGUAGAGGAUAGUGGAAUUUCCGGUGUAGCAGUGAAAUGCGUAGAGAUCGGAAGGAACAUCUGUGGCGAAGGCGACUAUCUGGGCCAACACUGACACUGAGGCACGAAAGCGUGGGGAGCAAACAGGAUUAGAUACCCCGGUAGUCCCUGUCUCUUAUAC